UGGGGUAUCGCCAAGUGGUAAGGCAACGGAUUCUGAUUCCGUCACCGCAGGUUCGAAUCCUGCUACCCCUGCCA
RNAcentral lists this transfer RNA (74 nucleotides) under Desulfuromusa kysingii. RNAcentral's name for it is "tRNA_Gln_CTG". It matches the Rfam family "tRNA". Rfam says of the family: Transfer RNA (tRNA) molecules are approximately 80 nucleotides in length. Their secondary structure includes four short double-helical elements and three loops (D, anti-codon, and T loops). Lineage: Bacteria; Pseudomonadati; Thermodesulfobacteriota; Desulfuromonadia; Desulfuromonadales; Geopsychrobacteraceae. The record is from RNAcentral.